AUUGAACGCUGGCGGAAUGCUUUACACAUGCAAGUCGAACGGCAGCACGGACUUCGGUCUGGUGGCGAGUGGCGAACGGGUGAGUAAUGUAUCGGAACGUGCCCAGUCGUGGGGGAUAACGUAGCGAAAAUACGCUAAUACCGCAUACGAUCUAUGGAUGAAAGCGGGGGAUCGCAAGACCUCGCGCGAUUGGAGCGGCCGAUAUCAGAUUAGGUAGUUGGUGGGGUAAAGGCCCACCAAGCCAACGAUCUGUAGCUGGUCUGAGAGGACGACCAGCCACACUGGAACUGAGACACGGUCCAGACUCCUACGGGAGGCAGCAGUGGGGAAUUUUGGACAAUGGGCGAAAGCCUGAUCCAGCCAUUCCGCGUGCAGGAUGAAGGCCCUCGGGUUGUAAACUGCUUUUGUACAGAACGAAAAGGUUUCUACUAAUACUAGGAGCUCAUGACGGUACUGUAAGAAUAAGCACCGGCUAACUACGUGCCAGCCGCCGCCGUAA
Molecule: ribosomal RNA, 499 nt
Filed under: uncultured bacterium
Lineage: Bacteria
Description: partial 16S ribosomal RNA
Rfam family: Bacterial small subunit ribosomal RNA
Source: RNAcentral